UACGGGGGGGGCAAGCGUUGUUCGGAAUUACUGGGCGUAAAGGGCUCGUAGGCGGCCAACUAAGUCCGACGUGAAAUCCCAAGGCUUAACCUUGGAACUGCGUCGGAUACUGGAUGGCUUGAAUUCGGGAGAGGGAUGCAGAAUUCCAGGUGUAGCGGUGAAAUGCGUAGAUAUCUGGAGGAAUACCGGUGGCGAAGGCGGGUCUCUGGGCAAUUCCUGACGCUGAGGCGCGAAAGCGUGGGGAGCAAACGGG
Molecule: ribosomal RNA, 253 nt
Filed under: uncultured bacterium
Lineage: Bacteria
Description: partial 16S ribosomal RNA
Rfam family: Bacterial small subunit ribosomal RNA
Source: RNAcentral